GGCUGUGUAGUGUAGCGGUUAUCACUUCAGAUUCUGAUGGAUAAGAACGACUGUCUAAGACUUCUGGCGACCCCGGUUCGAUUCCGGGCACGGCCU
Mycena rosella is the source of this 96-nucleotide non-coding RNA. Lineage: Eukaryota; Fungi; Basidiomycota; Agaricomycetes; Agaricales; Mycenaceae. The record is from the annotation of a GenBank genome assembly.